CUGCAGAGAGCCCCAUCAGCAAGGAGACCCUCACCAGGGUAGCCUCUCGACUUCGGAUUUCCAGAACUAAAGUUUUUGAAGCCAGCAGCAAAGUGGCGCAACAGGAACAAAGUGCUCUGUGAUGCUGGACCCACAUGGGAUGGCCCCAGGAGAGAGGUGCUGAAAAAUUCCAUGCUCAGGAAGGCCCAUGCUAGAAGAGCAAAUAGACUGGCCAUGUGUAA
This is a long non-coding RNA of Tupaia belangeri chinensis (Chinese tree shrew), 221 nucleotides long. RefSeq lists it as uncharacterized. The record is from RefSeq and is a predicted model, not a curated record. NCBI's taxonomy places the organism in Eukaryota, Metazoa, Chordata, Mammalia, Scandentia, Tupaiidae. The transcript is spliced from 3 exons.